UUUAGUCGUGUCCGACUCUUUGUGACCCCCUGGACCAGAGCACGCCAGGCCCUCCUGUCUUCCACUGCCUCCCUCAUGCUGGCAGCUUCGAGAACACUGUCCCACCAUCUCGUCCUCUGUCGUCCCCUUCUCCUUGUGCCCUCCAUCUUUCCCAACAUCAGGGUCUUUUCCAGGGAGUCUUCUCUUCUCAUGAGGUGGCCAAAGUCUUGGAGCCUCAGCUUCUGGAUCUGUCCUUCCAGUGAGCACUCAGGGCUGAUUUCCUUCAGAAUGGAGAGGUUUGAUCUUUGAGCCAGGGAAGUCCCCAAAUAGAAGUUCCAUCACAGAAGGAGAAAGGAAAGAGGGGAAGGGGAUCAAAUUGGCUCCAAGCCAAAGGCCAGGCAGAACAACUCUGUCUUACAGGCCCUGCGGAAAGAAAUCAGAUCCUGCAGGGCCCUGGUCUCAUGAGACAGAGCGUUCCACCAGGCUGGGGCCAGUGUUGAAAAGGCCCUGGCUCUGGUUGAGGCUAAUCUGACUUCCUUAGGGCCUGGGACCUCUAGGGUGUUGCUGUUUAUGGACCUUAAGGUCCUCUGUGGGGCAUACCAGGAGAGGCGGUCCCGUAGGUACGAGGGUCCUAGGCUGUAAAUAAACAUCAGUUGCUGGAAACUCCAGAAGGGUAGAGUGCUCUUGGGCUGCCAGAGCCAUCUUUCCCAUUGGGUUUACUCGCGCAUUGCGCCAGGGCGCCAGCCUCUCAGGGGGGCCCAGCAAGUGGGGGAGCUGCGCAGCUUUGCCGGCGGCCUCCUCUUUCCCUCCUGCAUGCCCACCAGCUGUGCCCUGUCCACCAUAUGGCUGGCGGGCAUGCAGCUUGCCUCCCAACCUUUCGCGCAAGGAGAGCAAGCCCCGCAGAGGCUUAGGAUGGAAGCUGCGCCCUGCCAACUAUAUAGCUGGAGGGGGUGUGCAGCUUCCUUUCCAAGCCACCACAGGAGGAGAGCAAUCCCCACAGACGCUUGGGAAAAGGUCGACAACUCUGGGAAACGUGGAGCGGGGCGCCGGAGGGAACUUUGCACCACAGCACCAGAUAUGCUUAAGACGGCAAUGUGUGCUGCAAUACUGCCUGGAAGGAGGAUGGAGGGUGUCUUUGAGCACACCCGCUUUUGCCACACACAUACACCCCUGGUGUGUGACCACUGGAAGGAAGCUACCAGAGUGGCUGGGAAAACCCAGCCUGAUGGGUGGGGUAUAAAAGAUAAAAUUAUUAUGAUGAUUACCCAUGAGGGAAUGUGUCCCAGCAGCUGAAAAAGGUUCCCCGCUGCUUGACCUGCUCAAACGCCCCAGGGUCACCCCUCUGCCCCAAUUCCAUUCCCCAAGAGCGUGUCCACAUACAACUGGGAAUGUCCUCUAUUUGAAAUCCCAAAGUGCUGCCAGCGGUCAGUUUAGAUCCGUGGUUCCCAACGCGGGGCACAUGCCCCACAGGGGGGCAAUUUGAUUUCUAAGGGGAGGGGCAGUUUGGAAGCUUGUUUGUUGUAGUUGUUUAGCCAUUUAGUCAUGUCCGACUCUUUGUCACCCCCUGGACCAGAGCACGCCAGGCACUCCUGUCUUCCACUGCCUAACACAGUUUGGUCAAACUCAUGCUGGUAGCUUCCAGAACACUGUCCAACCAUCUCGUCCACUGUCGUCCCCUUCUCCUUGCGCCCUCCAUCUUUCCCAACAUCAGGGUCUUUUCCAGGGAGUCUUCUCUUCUCAUGAGGCGGCCAAAGUCUUGGAGCCUCAGCUUCAGGAUCUGUCCUUCCAGUGAACACUCAGGGCUGAUUUCCUUCAGAAUGGAUCAGUUUGAUCUUUUUGCAGUCCCUGGGACUCUCAAGAGUCUCCUCCAGCACCAGAAUUCAAAAGCAUCCAUUCUUCAGCGAUCAGCCUUCUUUAUGAUCCAUCUCUCACUUCCAUCCAUCACUACUGGGAAAACCAUAGCUUUAACUAUACGGAAGCUUGUUUAAACCGAGUUAAUGGCCCAAGACUCUGUCUCUGCAUAUACGGGAACUUCCUGUGUUGCCAGUCGCUCCCUGUGUGUGUCCUCAGAGCACAGCCCUUGGCAGGAUAAGGAGAGAAAUUCCAAGGAUUUGCCCCCUCCCCACCUUUAUCUGCAAGGCAACAGUGAACUGAUCUCCCAGCAACAUUGUUGCAAGGAAGAGCGUAGUCGCCGGCCGUUGCAGCUGGACAGCAGCCGAGAUCUGGCUGACUGUUUCCUUUCUUGCUACAGGUGCAGAGUCCGUGCAGAUAAGGAGGGGUCUUCGGUUCUAAAAAGGCUUCUCUCUUGGAAGGUCAAGCCAGCAAGUCGAAACAUUAAGUAGAAGCGAGGUCAUUUCCAAACUCGGCUCCUGAAAGAGCACGAGACAAACGAGGGGGGAGGUCCCCAAAGAUUGGUAGUUUCAGGAACUGGUGAAUUUGGGACCAAUUUGGGGUGGGGGACUGUAUCCUGAGAAUCUAGUGUUGAGAUCCUGUAUGUACACAAGGUCCAGCAUUUCGUGGGCGGCUGCCAGAUCAAGCAGAGGGAUCUGUCUUGACCAUGUAGAUACUUUUGGUGGGAUCUUUCAGUUAAAGAUUUGGGAUGGACUGUUUGGAGAAAACACUGCAGAAGGUCCCUCCAAUCUUCAUAUUCUGCCCCUAAAUUCCAGGCAGGAUCCAACCCAAAGGGAUGUGAAGUCACAUUUUGAGCAUUUGUAUCCUGCCUCAGUGUGCCAGGCGCCAACCUCAGGCUACCUUUGAAAUCAAAGUAGUUCCCCCAGACUGGGCAGCUUGCACAAAUUAAAACAAUGCAGGCUAAACACAGUUAAAAACACAUGAAAGAUAACAGUUAAUUAUCUGUGAUUAAGCUAUAACAGAAUUAAAACAAUAUAAAAACAGAUCUGCUAAAAUAGAGUUCGUAAAAGCAGCAUAGCACUAUUAAAGCUCUUUCCUUAAAAAACAGUCAGUUGCCAAAGGCUUGAUGAAAUGAGAAGGUCUUCACCUGCCAGCAGGACAGCAAGCAGGGAGCCAGUCUGGCUUCUCUAGGGAGGAAAUUUCAAAGCUGCCUGGGAGGAGCCACCACUGAGAAGGUCCUCUCCUGUAUCCCCACCAAGGAUGUAUCCUGCAUCCCCACCAAAGGUGUCUGUGAAAGUGGUGGGACUAAGAGCCUCCCUUGAAGAUCUCUACUUUCAGCAGGAGCUCUCAGGCUUCCAUGUCUCACAGGAGGUAAGGGGGCCUAUUUCUUCAAGAGAUCUGACUUAUGGUACAAGCCCAAACCGACAGCUCUGUCUGUCGCUUUGCCUAUCCAUGGAGCUACUGAGUCUGCAAAAGGCUAGACCCUGACGUCCUGUGUUCAGUUCUGGGUGCCACAAUUUAAGAAGGAUUUUGACAAAGUGGAACAUGUGCAGAGGAGGGCGACCAGGAUGAUCAAGGGUCUGGAAACCAAGCCUGAUGAGGAACGGUUGAGGGAGCUGGGGGCGUUUAGCCCGGGGAAAAGGCAACCAAGAGGAGAUAUGUGUCAGGAGUGUGUGCAGGAGCCAGGCCCUGUGACCAAUAGGACUUUGCAGGACUGGGCCUUCCUAAGUUUGUUCUGAAGAGGCAAGGCACGGCCGCACAGGUGAGGCCAAUUGGUAACUCACAGCACCUGGUGGCAAGAGCUGGGAAGGGAUAUAAGGUCAGCAUUUCCCUUCAGCUCUUGGCCAUAGCAACACGUUCCCUGCCUUGCUGCGUUUGGUUUCUUGCUUCCUGAUCCUUGAACCUCGGCUUCUUGAGUCCCUGCUUCUUGAUCCUUGGACCCCUGACUUUGUGGCUCCUUGCUUCUUGAUCCUUGGACCCCUGACUUCGUGACUCCUUGCUUCUUGAUCCUCGGACCCCUGACUUCGUGACUCCUUGCUUCUUCUUUUUUUUUUAAAAGAUAUUUAUUAAGAUUUUCAAAAUAUUACAAAACAAAAAAAGAAAAAAGUACAAAAAUAAAAAUGGCUAAAAACAACUCAAUCUUUCCAUUACUUAUUUUUCAUUAGCUUAUUUCCCGGACCUCCUCACGCCUCCCUUUUUUGUAUUCCAGUUCAGUUUGUUGGUUCAGCAAAUCCUUACCCUCUUUGUUUAUCCUAGUCCUUAAUCUUAAAGUAUUGUAACAUUAAAUUUUUACCUAUUAAUAAUCCAUUUUCAUAUUCCCUUAUAGUAUUACAGCUGAAAACCACUUAAUUUCUAUCCAACAUCAUUCUAACAUUCAUUAAUUUUACAAUAUUUCUGUAGAUAGUCCUUAAAUUUCUUCCAAUCUUCUUCCACCGACUCUUCUCCCUGGUCUCGGAUUCUGCCAGUCAUUUCCGCCAAUUCCAUAUAGUCCAUCACCUUCAUCUGCCAUUCUUCCAGAGUGGGUAGAUCUUGUGUCUUCCAAUACUUUGCAAUGAGUAUUCUUGCUGCUGUUGUGGCAUACAUAAAAAAAGUUCUGUCCUUCUUUGGCACCAAUUGGCCGACUAUGCCCAGGAGAAAGGCCUCUGGUUUCUUCAAGAAGGUAUAUUUAAAUACCUUUUUCAACUCAUUAUAUAUCAUCUCCCAGAAAGCCUUAAUCCUUGGGCACGUCCACCAAAGGUGAAAGAAUGUACCUUCAGUUUCUUUACAUUUCCAACAUUUGUUAUCGGGCAAAUGAUAAAUUUUUGCAAGCUUGACUCGGGUCAUGUACCACCUGUAUAUCAUUUUCAUAAUAUUCUCUCUUAAGGCAUUACAUGCCGUAAACUUCAUACCUGUGGUCCAUAACUGUUCCCAGUCAGCCAUCAUUAUGUUAUGUCCAACAUCUUGUGCCCAUUUGAUCAUAGCAGAUUUCACCGUUUCAUCCUGAGUAUUCCAUUUCAACAGCAAGUUAUACAUCUUUGACAAAAUCUUAGUUUUGGGUUCUAACAGUUCUGUUUCUAAUUUUGAUUUUUCCACCUGGAAACCAAUUUUCUUGUCCAAAUUAUAUGCCUCCAUUAUCUGAUAAUAAUGAAGCCAGUCUCGCACUUUGUUUUUUAAUUUCUCAAAACUCUGCAAUUUCAGUCUAUCUCCAUCUUGUUCCAAAAUUUCCCAAUAUUUCAGCCAUUUGGCCUCCAUAUUGAGCUUUUUCAGAGCUUUCGCUUCCAUCGGUGACAGCCACCUUGGGGUUUUAUUUUCCAAUAAGUCCUUAUAUCUUAUCCAAACAUUAAACAAUGCUUGCUUGACUCCUUGCUUCUUGAUCCUUGAACCUCGGCUUCUUGAGUCCCUGCUUCUUGAUCCUUGGACCCUUGACUUUGUGACUCCUUGCUUCCUGACCCUUGGACCCAUGGCUUCCUGACUCCUGGCUUCUGAACCCCCGUUCCUGCUCCCACCCUGCCAUCUUGCUCUGCUGGGACAUCGAUCGCCCGUGCACUGGACCGUGACAAUAUGGUAACCAACUUCAAAUACCUGAAGAGCUGUCAAGUGGAAAAUGGAGCAAGCUGUUCCAGAGGGUAGGACCUAUAAUAAUGGAGUCAAAUGACUAGAAAGGAGAUUCCAUCUAAACAUGAGGGAAAACGUUAUUACGGUAAGAGCUGUUUGGCAGUGGGACUGAGUCCCUCAGAAGGUGAUGGACUCUCCUUCAUUGGAGGUUUUUCAACAGAGGUGGUGCUUGCUCUAGUUAUCUCCCGCUUGGGCUACUGCCAUGCGCUCUCUGUGGGGCUACCUUUGAAGGUGACGCAGAAACCACAACUAAUCCAGAAUGCGGCAGCUAGACUGGUGACUGGGAGCGGCCACCGAGACCAUAUAACACCAGUCUUGAAAGACCUACAUUGGCUCCCAGUAUGUUUCCGAGCACAAUUCAAAGUGUUGGUGCUGACAUUUUAAAACCCUAAAUGGCCUCCGUCCAGUAUACCUGAAGGAGCGUCUCCACCCCCAUUGUUCUACCCAGACACUGAGGUCCAGCUCUGAGGUCCUUCUGGCAGUUCCCUCACUGUGAAAAGCCAAGUUACAGAGAACCAGGCAGAGGGCCUUCUUGGUAGUGGCACCCACCCUGUGGAACUCCCUCCCACCAGAUGUCAAAGAGAAGAAGAACUACCAGACUUUUAGACGACAUCUGAAGGCAGCCCUGUUUAGGGAAGCUUUGAAUGUUUAAUAGAUUAUUGUAUUUUAAUAUUCUGUUGGAAGCCGCCCAGAGAGGCUGGGAAAACCCAGCCAGAUGGGCGGGGUAUAAAUUAUUUGUUUGUUUGUUUGUUUGUUUGUUUGUUUGUUUGUUUGUUUGAGGUUGGGUUGCCAUCUGUCAGGGAUACUUUACUUGUGAUUCCUGUGUUCCAGGGAGUUGGGCUUGUUGACCUUUGGGGGUCCCUCCCAACUUUACGACUCUAUAAUUCCCUGCUUGAUGUCCCAUUCCAACCAGGGAUCUCAGGUGGGCGGCCAAGCCCUGCAAGAUAAACCAGCUUGAUCCCCUGCGCUGCCUGAGUCAGCCUGCUUGUCUUUAUUUUGUCCUGGCCGCGGGCCCCGGUUCAAGGAGAGUUGAAUUUCUGAUACUGCGGAGAAUACAAGAUAACUGUUGCAUUUUUAACAUACUAACAAUUCCUCCGCUGGCAGACCGUUGCGGCAGCAGCAGGCAUCCGCAGAUCACAGAACAGUUACUUAGUCGCAGGGAGCCUGGAAUGGGACGCUGCCUCCCUGCGAACCCUGGCUGGCGCGCUUGCAAGUGGCCUUUGUUUGCAGGCGGCUCGGGUGCCUGUUCCUGGCCCCGGCCCUGACGCAGGAGUGGGCAAGCAGGGGGCGAGCUCUGCUGAAUCAGCUGCUGUCACCAGGCCAAGGAGAUGGCUGGAGCGAGCCGAGGGGGGAGCAGCUGCUGCGUUCAGUCACAGGAAGUCUUCGAGCCAAGCAACCUGAGUGGCAGAGUGGAGGAACGCAGAGUUUUGCACCAAGGACCAAGAAGUCCAACUGCGGGAGACGGUGCAACCCGUCUUAGCCACUUAGCCAGAAAUCAUUGGUGGCCCUUUAAGAUCAAUACGUUGACAGACAGAGACACAGAGACAAAGACAGAGUGAUACAGAUGAUACAGAUAUACUGAUAUACACAGAUGACGGUACUGGAGCCUGGCAGUUUUGCACCCUAGGCAAAGCUAACUACAGUGGUACAGUCAUACUUCGGGUUACAGACGCUUCAGGUUGCGUUUUUUCGGGUUAUGGACCGCCAAAACCCGGAAGUACCGGAAUGGGUUAGUUCUGGGUUUCGGCGGUCGCACAUGCGCAGAAGUGCUGAAUCGCAACCCGCGCGUGUGCAGACGCUUGAGGACUGCGGGCUACUAUAGAGAGUAUGCAAGGCGCUCCUGCUUCUGCCCUCCAGAAGAGGGGAAUAGUGCCCUCCAUGGAAGUGCUGUGGUGGCAGCCACCCUUCAACCCAGCCAGAUGGGUGGGGAAUGAAUGAAUGAAUGAAUAAUUAUUAUUAUUAUUAUUAUUAUUAUUAUUAUUAUUAUUAAACUCAACUUGAAUAAAAUAUUGCCAACUUGAAUAAAAUAUUGUGGGGACCCAGGUAAGCCCAGCCCCACAUAAUCAAUCAAUGCUGUAUUGUGUUUUUAAUAUUCGAUUGGGAGCCACCCAGAGUGGCUGGGGAAACCCAGCCAGGUGGGCAGGGUAUAAAUAACAAAUUAUUAUUAUUCAAAAUAAAAUAUAAAAUAAAAAAAUUGUCCAGUAGCACCUUAAAGGUAAAGGUAAAGGGAUCCCUGACCAUUAGGUUCAGUCAUGGCCGACUCUGGGUUGCGGCGCUCAUCUCGCUUUACUGGCCGAGGGAGCCAGCGUACAGCUUCCGGGUCAUGUGGCCAGCAGGACUAAGCCGCUUUUGGCGAACCAGAGCAGCGCAUGGAAAUGCCGUUUACCUUCCCGCCAGAGCAUUACCUAUUUAUCUACUUGCACUUUGACGUGCUUUUGAACUGCUAGGUUGGCAGGAGCAGGGACCGAGCAAUGGGAGCUCAUUCCGUCGCGGGGAUUCAAACCGCCGACCUUCUGAUCGGCAAGUUCUAGGCUCUGUGGUUUAACCCACAGCUCCACCUGCAUCCCUCCAGUAGCACCUUAGAGACAAGCUAAGUUUAUUCUGGGUAUAAGCUUUCGUGUGCAUACACACUUCUUCAGAUACACUGAAACAGAAGUCACCAGGCCCUUAUAUAUAGUGGGAGGGUGGGGUGGGGUUUUUCUCAGGAGAGUAGUAGGAGAUGGGUGAUUGACUCAAUGGGUAUGGUAAAGCUGUUGAUGACUGUUUAAGACUGCAAUUAGUCCUACAGGAAAAAGCAAGGGAUAGUAUGCAGAUGACCUACCUGAAUCUGUUGUUGUUGUUGUUGUUGUGACGCAGUGCACACACACCAUUUGAAUGGGAAUGCCCAUCAACUUUGUGGGGGCCCUGCCCCCUCAAAUAUUUUAUUGUGGGGGCCGAAGCCCCUGCGGAGUUGGCUCCUAUGCCUCAGCUUCUGCCACCUGAGGCAGUAGCCUCCGCCUGCCCAAUGGUUGCACCGGCACUGCACUGGGGACAGUCUGCUCCCCAGACUCCUGAACCGCCCGUCAGUUCCAUCCCCCAGCCCUUGGCUGGGCAAAUGCGCCCCCAAAUAACAGAGCCACCAGCUCCUGCUCCCACACUGCCCUUGGUGACCCUUGGCACGGAUCCACAGAGGCACUUGGUCCACUUGGCCUGGCUCACCUGGAGAGACCACAGCCUAAUCAUCAGCUAAGACUCAGGGCUUAGAGCAACAGCACAGCACUCUCCUUGCAUUCCUUGUCAGGCCUGAUCUAAAACACAUUGGCUGCUGCACCACAGAAAGCCAUAAUCUCCGAGGGGUGGCCAGAGGAAAGGAUGGAGGAGCAUCUAUGACUGGUGUUGCCUUUGCAGCUUAGAUCUAGCUUCUGCCUCACUUUGCCACCUCCGCGACCCAGCCAGUCCACAGGCCUCUCCACCAGGGCUUACGUUCCCAGUGUCUUGAUGGGAGCCAUCCAUCACGACAGGCCCAAGCGCCUGCCUCCCUCCCCGCCCCCAAAAAAACGUCUGGACAGGACCGGUUGCAACAGCAGCAGCUGGAGAGUUCAUCUCUUCUUUAUCCCCCCGCCCGCCGUUAACACAGAUCCUCUUGUGUUAAAGCAGAAACAAACAGUCCCCGUCCCAAACAGGAUUCAACCUUCUAAAAUUCCAGGCAGGAGACACUGUCACUCUGCCAAUGCACAGGAUGGCGCUCGCCCAAGUCUGUCAGAAUGACCUGUGGGCUGUUUCCCCAGUGGGACUCUGGUUACUCCAGACAACUCUGUGUCCCUCGGACGGCUGCCUGCUCAUUGAUCACUUUCACUUGCUUUCCUACCCAGACAUGAUCCCUCCUGCCUCCCUUGCUUUGCUAAAUACAAAACUGGCCUUCGCCACCAGCUGAGAUCCUCCUUCUCCUCCUUCUGGUGCUACGUGAUGUCUCCCCACCCCCAUCUGAAGAGUGGAAGCCCACCCAUAGGCCUUGGAACUGUUUCUCACAGGCAACAGAAUGGUAGACUAGACACGCCAUUGGUCUGGUCCAGGGUCUUAUGCGCUUGUGUUCUUAGAUGAUUAUCUCUGGCCUAUUGUGCCUCCCUCUAUCUCUGUGAACCAACCCAGACCCUGAGAUCAUCAUCCGAGGACCCUUUUUGUGGGCCUCCUCCACAAGAGAUCUAGAAAGUUGGCAAAACGAGAACAGGGCCUUUUCUGCAGUGGCUCCCCAUUUGUGGGAUGCUCUCCUCAGGGAGGCUUGCCUGGCACCUUCAUUGUAUUUAGGCUCCAGGCAAAAAUGUUCCCCUUCUCCUAAGGCCUUUGGCUAAUUAAACCACUGAUGGCUUUUAAGCUGUGGGGGGGUAUUGUUUUUGUUUGUUAAUAUGGUCUGCAUUUUAGUGUUUUUAUGUUUUUAAACCUGUGCUCCUCAGAAAAAGAGCAGUAUAGAGAUGAUGAUGAAUAACUGCCCUUCCUGCUUCAGGAUCUGGCUCCAGACAGGUGGGUCUUGCCUCAAAUGCAGGGCCCAUUAGAUUCUGAGGUAAUAGCAGGCGCAUGAGCUGAGCAUCUGGUUCCUUUCCAUUUUUAUGCAUUGUGCUUUUGGGGGUGGGGAGGGCAGGGGCAGAAAUGCUCCCCUUCCACCACGAAUUCCUUCCCACAUUUCAAAAGCAGAGUGUUUCUGGAAGUGCUUAGGAUAUGUAUGUCCAGGUUGGGCAAAAGCCUCCCCUUGAAUGCUUGGUAGGGUGAAAACCCUCAGGGCUCCUACCUGCCCAAUCCAUCAAGGGGAAGAUAUUGGGUUUCAUGGCGCAGCAUCCAUAAAACCUAAUUGUGGCGUCUCUCUCCCCCGCCCCCGGCAGACACUCAGUUUGGCCCAGCCAAAUGCGCUCUCCUUUCAAGGAGGCCCAGUUUUCCUUGCCAGCCCUCAGACCUCUUGGUCAGACUCUCCAUCAUCUGGGAGGAGGAGUUCCACAAGGGAGAACCUCCCCUGGAGAAGCUUCCGAGAUGAAUUGGGUAGAGAAAAUGUUAGCUCCCAGGCUGCAGAACUAGAAGCAAGUCCCCUGCUGCCUCCCCCCCUUUUUUUGUUCUGAACUCCUCUUUAUUUUUCCUUACCCUACCAAUACAUGAGGAAAGCAGACUAGAUGGACCUUUAAUCAAAUUCAGCCUGGUCCAUAUGUCUGUCAUCAUUUGCUUCUGGUGUAAAAGCUGGUCCAUAGGGUUGUCCUUCUCCUUCUCCAAAGAACAUUCCACAACCAGAGCACCACCAAUUCUGAAAGCCUAAUAGCCAUAGCUGCAAUCUAUGGCAGUGCCAGAGACACCCUUUUGGGGUACCUGUGAGAUAGACGCUGGACCUACCUUAUUUUCUUGACUGCAAUCUGUUUUAACUGCUUUUUAAUAUCACCUUUUAUUUUUUUAAAAAUAUGAAUUUAUAAGAGUACAAAAUACAGAAGUGAAGAACAAAAAAGAAAAUUUAAUAUUGUCUUUUAAACCUGUUGAGGCCCUGGGACCUGAGGCUGAAAGGCUGGUAAGAAACCAAAUAAACAGAUCCCCAUCAAUAGAUCACCAGGGGGCAACUUUUGACUGAUGGCAAACACAAUCCACAAUUCAAAGUGUUGGUGCUGACCUUUAAAGCCCUAAAUGGCCUCGGCCCAGUAUACUUGAAGGAGCAUCUCCAUCCCCAUUGUUCUGCCCGGAAACUGAGGUCCAGCUCCGAGGGCCUUCUGGCAGUUCCCUCCCUGCGAGAAGUGAGGUUACAGGGAACUAGGCAGAGGGCCUUCUCGGUGGUGGCACCCGCCCUGUGGAAUGCCCUCCCAUCAGAGAUGUCAAAGAGAUAAACAACUAUCUGAUGUUUAGAAGACACCUGAAGGCAGCCCUGUUUAGGGACGUUUUAAUGGCUGACGUUUUAAUGUAUUUUUAAUCUUUGUUGGAAGCUGCCCAGAAUGGCUGGGGAAACCCAGCCAGAUGGGUGGGGUACAAAUAUAAUAAUAAUAAUAAUAAUAAUAAUAAUAAUAAUAAUAAUAAAUCCUGACUAUCAGAGAAUGCAGGAACAGGAGGAAGCUGCCUUCUGCAGAGUUAGACCAUUAGUCCAUCUAGUCACUUUUGCCCACUCAGACUUCCAAGGGAUCUGCAGGAUGUUCAGGCUGGUGAUCUUUCCCAGCCCUGCCUAGAGAUUCCUUCUUCUUGCACCUGGAGUUGGACUCUGUCCCUGGUUUUUCAGUGGCAAAAAAACCCCCUUCUGCGUCUGCACAGAGGAUUCACAGAGGAGAGGGCUCUCAAUGGCUCCUAGCCACAAGGGCUGCUUCCACAUUUGGAGGUAUCAGGGCUUUGGAUCCCAGCUGCUGGAAACCACAGGAGGGGAGAGUUGCUCUUGGGCUUGAAUUCCACUUGCAGGUUUCCCACUGCGGCUUCUGGUUGGCCCUUGUGAGCACAGGGUGACCUGUCCCCUACCAGGCAGGUCUUUGCCCAUGUGACCUGGGAGGAUGCAGCCCGGACUGACUCCAGCUACAAAAGCUGAGGCUGAUGAACAGAUUCUUGGACUGGGGUAUUGUUUAGGGUUUUUGUUGGUGGUGCUAUUGAUAUUUAGUUUGUUAUCUCUAUGAAAAAAGAAAUGGAGGCAGUGACAGAUUUUACUUUCUUGGGCUCCAUGAUCACUGCAGAUGGUGACAGCAGACGAAAUUAAAAGAUGCCUGCUUCUUGGGAGAAAAGCAAUGACAAACCUAGACAGCAUCUUAAAAAGCAGAGACAUCACCUUGCCAACAAAGGUCCGUAUAGUUAAAGCUAUGGUUUUCCCAGUAGUGAUGUAUGGAAGUGAGAGCUGGACCAUAAAGAAGGCUGAUAUCCGAAGGAUGGAUGCUUUUGAAUUCUGGUGCUGGAGGAGACUCUUGAGAGUCCCAUGGACUGCAAGAAGAUCAGACCUCUCCAUUCUGAAGGAAAUCAGCCCUGAGUGCUCACUGGAAGGACAGAUCGUGAAGCUGAGGCUCCAAGACUUUGACCACCUCAUGAGAAGAGAAGACUCCCUGGAAAAGACCCUGAUGUUGGGAAAGAUGGAGGGCACAAGGAGAAGCGGACGACAGAGGACGAGUUGGCUGGACAGUGUUCUCAAAGCUACCAGCAUGAGUUUGACCAAACUGCGGGAGGCAGCGGAAGACAGGAGUGCCUGGCGUGCUCUGGUCCAGGGGGUCGCGAAGAGUCAGACAUGACUAAAGGACUAAACAACAACAAUCUCUACUUUUAGAUCUUCUUAUGAUAAGGAAAUCGUUAAUUAUGUAUUUUCCGUUUUUUAUAUUGUGAUUUUAUGUUGUGAACUGCCCUGAGAUCUACGGGCAUAGAGUGGUAUACACAUUUAAUAUAAUAACAAUAACAACAACAAUAAUAAGGUUGUGCACUUUUUGAUGUGUUUUAUUUAUUGUUUCUAUUUUUGUUCCAUUUGCAAUUAUGUAAUUUUUUUUCAUGUUGUAAACCGCCUUGAGCACUUUGGAAAGGCAGCAUACGAAUCAAACGAUGUUUGUAUUUAGGACCAUGAUCUGCUCUUGAUGGGCCACCGGCCUCACUCAGCAGAUGUUUACAGGUCUCCUUCUAUUUCCGAUGUUCGGCUUGUGGCGUGCGGCUGCCAGAGUGCAGCCAGAACAGCACCACCCACGGACGAGAGCUUGGGGGAACUCCAAGCCCUGGGGAAGUUCCACUCCCACCCCCCACAAAAAAAACAAAUAACAUCCCAAUGCAGAGGAGGAUGGCGUGUGCUCCAGGGACACAGGAAAAUGAAAAAUGAGGGAAGCAGAGGGAGGGUGGCUGUGAAACCAAAGACCAGCAAGAUGUUGACCACGAUAAACAGCAGCCUUUUGUGGCAAGUCCCACAGGCCCUUCUCCUCCGUUGCUGCCGCUUUGGAGCCACGAGGAGCAGGAGGCGGUUAGGUUCCAGGGCAAAGCUGUCAACGUUUCCCCUUUUUUAAGGGAAAUUCCCUUAUUCCGAAUAGGAUUCCUCGCAAAAAAAGGGAAAAGUUGACAGCUAUGUUCUGGGGAAAAGGGAGACAACCUCUCUGCAUUUCCCUGGUGCAAUUGGUAGCGCCCUGCGGAAAGACUUCCACCUUUUGCCUCCCUCUUCCGAAUCGCCUUUCAGCCUCCUGAUGUCCAGAUGCUCAGAUGUUCUGCCCUUGACCUCCUUGCUUCUCUCCUCCUCCUCCUCCUCUUCACAACUCCCCCCAUCACACACACCCCCAAAGUGAAAUUAGCUUACUGAAACAUGUUUUCUUUUAGGAAUCCGCAGCCUAAUCCAGAACAAACAAAACACGUUUUCAGAAACCGCUGAACGCAUGAACUCUUGCCCUCGCCUUGACCGCGGGUGCUUCCUCCUCCCCCCUCCACCCCACCAGCCCUUCCCUACUUCUCCCCCCCCCCGCACAACAAACAUUACCAUAUGCCUGAGGUUUCCAAGGCAUUUCUUUCCACUGACAGAUACAAUCUGCAACAAGGCAGACGCUGCAGACCUUUUUUUCCCCUUCUGACAACAACUGGAGGGGCAAGGGUUUAUUCUUAAUUUUCCUUCAAUGGGUGUGGAACAAGUGGGACUGCGUGUCUUCGGGGGUGGUGGGUCUGUGUGUAUAUUUGUGAAUGGUGCAUAAAAGUGAGGGUUAACUGGCAUGUGUCUCUUUGGCUAGACAGAAGUGCUGAAGAGUAGGAAGUGGCCCAACGUGUCAUCGAAUUGGAGAGUUGGAAGGGACCUCCAGGGCUCAUCCAGUCCAGCCCCCUCCCAUGUAGGAAUCACAGCAGAAGAAACAGUCACUGGUGACCAUCCAAAUGCUGUUUGAAGGAGAUGCUGUCACCUUCCAAUGUGGCCCAUUCCAUUGUCAAAUGACUCUUGGCUUCAGAAAGUUCUUCCUCAUAUUUGCUUCGUAUCUGCUGUUUUGUCAUUUGAAUCAGUUCAGGUCCUCCCCUCUGCAGCAGCGGAAAUCAGGCUUGUUCUAUCUUGCAUGUGACAGCCCUUCAGAUAUUUAAAGACGGCUGUCCUAUCCUAUUCUUAGUCUCCAUGAUCACUGCAGAUGGUGACAGCAGCCACAAAAGUAAAAGACGCCUGCUUCUUGGGAGAGAAGCGAUGGCAAACCUAGACAGCAUCUUAAAAAGCAGAGACAUCACUUUGCCAACAAAGGUGCGUAUAGCUAAAGCUAUGGUUUUCCCAGUAGUGAUGUAUGGAAGUGAGAGCUGGACCAUAAAGAAGGCUGAUCGCCGAAGAAUUGAUUCUUUUGAAUUCUGGUGCUGGAGGAGACUCUUGAGAGUCCCAUGGACUGCAAGAAGAUCAAACCUCUCCAUUCUGAAGGAAAUCAGCCCUGAGCGCUCACUGGAAGGACAGAUCCUGAAGCUGAGGCUCCAAGACUUUGGCCACCUCAUGAGAAGAGAAGACUCCCUGGAAAAGACCCUAAUGUUGGGAAAGAUGGAGGGCACAAGGAGAAGGGGACGACAGAGGACGAGAUGGUGGGACAGUGUUCUCAAAGCUACCAGCAUAGAAUCAUAGAAUCAUAGAGUUGGAAGAGACCACAAGGGCCAUCGAGUCCAACCCCCUGCCAAGCAGGAAACACCAUCAGAGCACUCCUGACAUAUGGUUGUCAAGCCUCUGCUUAAAGACCUCCAAAGAAGGAGACUCCACCACACUCCUUGGCAGCAAAUUCCACUGUUGAACAGCUCUUACUGUCAGGAAGUUCUUCCUAAUGUUUAGGUGAAAUCUUCUUUCUUGUAGUUUGGAUCCAUUGCUCCGUGUCCGCUUCUCUGGAGCAGCAGAAAACAACCUUUCUCCCUCCUCUAUGUGACAUCCUUUUAUAUAUUUGAACAUGGCUAUCAUAUCACCCCUUAACCUCCUCUUCUCCAGGCUAAACAUGCCCAGCUCCCUUAGCCGUUCCUCAUAAGGCAUCGUUUCCAGGCCUUUGACCAUUUUGGUUGCCCUCCUCUGGACACGUUCCAGUUUGUCAGUGUCCUUCUUGAACUGUGGUGCCCAGAACUGGACACAGUACUCCAGGUGAGGUCUGACCAGAGCAGAAUACAGUGGCACUAUUACUUCCCUUGAUCUAGAUGCUAUACUCCUAUUGAUGCAGCCCAGAAUUGCAUUGGCUUUUUAGCUGCCGCGUCACACUGUUGGCUCAUGUCAAGUUUGUGGUCAACCAAGACUCCUAGAUCCUUUUCACAUGUACUGCUCUCAAGCCAGGUGUCACCCAUCUUGUAUUUGUGCCUCUCAUUUUUUUGCCCAAGUGCAAGACUUUACAUUUCUCCCUGUUAAAAUUCAUCUUGUUUGUUUUGGCCCAGUUCUCUAAUCUGUCAAGGUCGUUUUGAAGUGUGAUCCUGUCCUCUGGGGUGUUAGCCACCCCUCCCAGUUUGGUGUCAUCUGCAAAUUUGAUCAGGAUGCCCUUGAGUCCAUCAUCCAAGUCGUUGAUAAAGAUGUUGAAUAAGACCGGGCCCAAGACAGAACCCUGUGGCACCCCACUAGUCACUCUUCUCCAGGAUGAAGAGGAACCAUUGAUGAGCACCCUUUGGGUUUGGUCAGUCAGCCAGUUACAAAUCCACUGCGUGGUAGCAUAGUCAAGACCACAUUUUACCAGCUUCUUUACAAGAAUAUCAUGGGGCACCUUGUCAAAUGCCUUGCUGAAAUCAAGGUAGGCUACAUCCACUGCGUUCCCUUCAUCUACCAGGCUUGUAAUUCUGUCAAACGAGAUCAGGUUAGUCUGACAUGGCUUAUUUUUCAGAAAUCCAUGCUGACUAUUGGUGAUCACAGCAUUCCUUUCUAGGUGCUCACAGACUGUUUGCUUAAUGAUCUGCUCCAGAAUCUUCCCUGGUAUUGAUGUCAGACUGACUGGGCGGUAAUUAUUUGGGUCCUCUCUUUUCCCCUUUUUGAAAAUAGGGACAACAUUUGCCCUCCUCCAGUCUGCCGGGACUUCGCCUGUUCUCCAGGAAUUCUCAAAGAUGACUGCCAGUGGUUCUGAGAUCACAUCUGCCAGUUCUUUUAAUACUCUUGGAUGCAGUUCAUCUGGCCCUGGAGACUUGAAUACAUCUAAACUAGCCAAGUAUUCUUGUACUAUCUCCUUAGUUAUUCUGGGCUGUGUUUCCUCUGCUGAAUCAUUUGCUCCAAAUUCUUCAGGUCGGGCAUUGUUUUCUUUAUCGGAGAAGACUGAGGCAAAGAAAGCAUUGAGGAGUUCAGCCCUUUCUGUGUCCCCUGUUUGCAUUUCACCAUCUUCUCCUCUGAGUGACCCCACUGUUUCUUUGUUCUUCCUUUUGCUACGAACAUACCCAUAAAAACCUUUUUGUUGCUUUUAACCUCUCUAGCAAGCCUGAGUUCAUUCUGUGCUUUAGCUUUUCUGACUUUGUGUCUACACGUGCUGGCUAGUUGUUUGAAUUCCUCUUUGGUGGUGUCUCCCUUUUCCAUUUUUGUACACAUCCUUUUUAAUCUUAACUCAGUUAAAACUUCUUUAGAUAGCCACCCUGGCUUCUUUAGGCACCUUCCAUGUUUCCGUCUCAUUGGUAUUGCCUGAAGUUGUGCUUUUACUAUCUCCCUCUUAACAAACUCCCAGCCAUCAUGAACUCCCUUUCCUUUUAGUAUUACUGUCCAUGGGAUCUCACCCAGCACUUCCCUAAGUUUUAUGAAGUCGGCUUUCUUAAAGUCAAGAAAUUGAGUCCUAGUAUGCUUGGCUGCUCCUUUCCGCUGUAUAGUAAACUUCAGAAGAGCAUGAUCACUCGCGCCUAAUGAUCCUUCCACUUCUACCCCACUAACCAGGUCAUCAACAUUGGUUAGGACCAGAUCUAAAAUGGCUGUUCCUCUUGUUGCUUCUCCCACUUUCUGGACAAUGAACUUGUCUGCAAGGCCAGUGAGGAAUCUGUUUGACCUUAUGCUCUUGGCUGAGUUUGACAUCCAACAAAUAUCCGGGUAAUUGAAGUCCCCCAUUACUACUAUCUCCCUUCCUUUUGCAUGCUUGGCCAUCUGUUCCAGGAAGGCAUCAUCUAUGUCCUCCGUUUGGCUUGGGGAUCUAUUGUAAACUCCCACAAUGAGGUCACUGUUAUUCUUCUCUCCCUUGAUUUUGACCCAAAUGCUCUCACUUUGGCUUUGAGGUUCUAAAUCUUGGAUCUCUUCACAGGUAUACACAUCCCUGACAUAUAACGCCAUGAGUUUGACCAAACUGCGGGAGGCAGUGGAAGAGAGAAGUGCCUGGCGUGCUCUGGUCCAGGGGGUCACGAAGAGUCGGACACGACUAAAUGACUAAAUGACAGCAACAGCUGUCCUAUCCACCCUCUGUCUUCUCUUCUCCAGACUAAACAUUCCUCAUAUGUCUUGGUCUCCAGGCUCUCCGUUAUCUUGAGGACUCUCUUCUGCCUGUUCCAGCUUGUCAAUCUCCUUCUUUAACUGUGGCUCCCAGAAUGGGCCACACGACUCCAGCUGCGGAUUGAAAAGGACAGAAAUACUAUUCCCUUUGAUCUGGAUACUAGGCUUCUGUUGUCCUCUGCAGCACAUUUCCUACACUGGAUCCCUUGGCAUGAAUGAUUGGUGCUCUCCAUUUUCAUGGCAAGUGUGUAGGACAUGCUCUGCAGUUUCCUUUGUACUUUUUAAUGUUUUAGAUAUGCUGUAAGCCUUCCAGAGUGGCUGGGGAAACCCAGACAGAUGGGUGAGCUAUAAAUAAUAAAAUUGUUGUUGUUCCACGAUAGAAUUCAAGAUGGCCUCCAGGAUUACUUAAACUAAAAAGCUUAAACUAGCCUAUCUAAGGUUCUCUUUUAAGAUGCAAAGGGAUGUACUUUGACAAACUCACAAACAUGAGGAAAGGAUAAUAAUUGCUAAUAAAUAUCUCCUCUCCUGGCAUCUAUUCACAUCCUUACAUACCCACCCACAUUUUCACAGUCUGGGGGUUCCUGAAACGGUAAAUGGCAAGCUCUCCAAACACACUGUAGGGCUAAAUCCAGGCUAAAUGCGCCAGUUUCCUAUUAUGAGUCACAGAAAAGCAAUCCUUGCCUUGUGAUUCUCUAUCGAGCGUUCGGCUGCCCUGACUGUGGGACUCAGCUGAGGACAGGGCUUGAAACGGACCCAAAUUCUGACAAAUGAGUGAGCGCUUUAAAUGAAACCCAGAUUGACGGUUGUUUUGGAGAUGCCUUCGUGGUGUUUUGGGGGCGGCUGGCUUCCCGUUUUAGUACAUCUGGAGCUGACCGAGGCCUGUGAAUUCCGCUCGCCCUGCCUUGCGCAACUCAAAGUAAUCUCAGAGUCGGCCAAAGGAAAUGACUCCAAGGCGGCUUUGGUGACCUCUGUUUGGAGAAGAGAUUGGCAUCCUCUGUUUGGACUCUGGGUCUUGUAAGGCAUUGUCACCGGAGGCUGAAGUCACCACCUUUGUGUCCUUUUCACCUCUGAGUCAGCUCACCAGAUCCCCAACCCCAUGGGAGAAGAUCAGUGUUUGCCAGUUUACAAAGAAAGGAGGAGAUGAGGGCAUUUCCUGCUUCGUGAAGCAUUUGGAGAUGUGAGGAAGACGCGGAAGGAGACUCCUUUGAGCUGAGCCACACAGCCACCCCUUAUUCCACACCAGAUAAGAAUGGAAGGUCAUCCUAGAGGAAUCUGCUGCAUCAGGCCAGGGGCCUAUCUGGUUCAGCAGCCUGUUCUCACAUUGGUUGACCAGAUGCCAGUGGGAAACCUCAGGCAGGAUUUGAGCACAAGCACAAAAAAAUGCAAGGGACACGGGUGGCGCUGUGGGUUAAACCACAGAGCCUAGGACUUGCCCAUCAGAAGGUCGGCAAGUAGAUAAAUAGGUACCGCUCCAGUGGGAAGGUAAACGGCAUUUCCGUGCGCUGCUCUGGUUCGCCAGAAGCGGCUUAGUCCUGCUGGCCACAUGACCCGGAAGCUGUACGCCGGCUCCCUCGGCCAGUAAAGCGAGAUGAGCCCCGCAACCUUAGAGUCAUCUGCGACUGGACCUAAUGGUCAGGCUGCAUCAAUAGGUGUCUAGUGUCCAGAUCAAGGGAAAUCAUAAUACUGCUCUACUCCACCAUCUUCAGACCAAGCCUGGAGUCCUGUGUCCACUUCUGGGCACCACAAGGAUGUCAACAAGCUAGAAAGUGUGCAGGGCAGGGGGAGCAACCAGGAUGAUCAAGGGCCUGGUGAGGAAUGGUUGAGGGAGUUGGGCAUGUUUGGCCUGAAGGAAACUAAGUGGUGAUAUGAUAACCAUCUUCAAAUAUCAAAAAGGCUGCCACGUGAAACAUGGAGCAAGCUUGUUUUAUUUAUUUCCAAUAACCCCCUAAUUUUUUUUGCUGCUAGAGAGCAGGACCCAAACCAAUGGAUUCAAAUGACAAGAAAAUAGAUUCUGACUAAACAUUAGGAAGAGCUUUCUGAUGGUUGGAGCUGCUCGAUGGUGCAACGGACUCCCUCAGAAGGUGAUGGACUCUCCUUCCUUGGAGGUUCUUAAAUAUAGAUUGGAUGAUCAUCUGUCAGGGAUGCUUCCACUGGGAUUCCUGCUUUGCAGGGGGUUGGAGCAGAUGCGCCUCUAGUUUCCUUCGCACGUUACAAGUCUAUGAUUCUAUGAAAUGGGAUUAGGCCAAGUCAUGUAGGAUGAACCUCUCAAUGACCAUAAUGGCCCCGGCAACAGAGGCACCAUAUCUCUGAAUACCAGUCCCUUGCAACCAACGAAGGGAAGCAGCAUUGACGCACAUGGCAGGGGUGGACUUUGAUAAUAUGGCUCCCUGAAUGUGGACAAAAUUUGGCGCCCCUCCCUUAAAUAUUUCUUAUUUUCACACUAUAGUCAUACCUUGGAUCCCGAAUGCCUUGGUACUCAGACAUUUUGGCUUCCAAACGCCACAAACCCGGAAGUGAGUGUUCUGGUUUGCGAACGUUCUUUGGAACCUGAAUGUCCGGAGGGGCUUCCAUGACUUUUGAUUGGCUGCAGGAGCUUCCUGCAGCCAAUCAGAAGCCACACUUUGGUUUCUGAAUGUUUUGGAAGUGGAACAAGACUUCCGGAACGGAUUCCAUUUGACUUCCAAGGUAUGACUGUAGUUUAUUUUGACACAGUUGUUUUUUAUAUAUCUUAUACCACGAGAAUGUUGUUGUUGUUGUUGUUGUUGUUGUUGUUGUUGUUGUUGUUUUGCAGCCCCUUGGCUCAGCACCCUGUGUGGGAGAACUACCCAUGCCACUCGAAAUCUGGUGCUGCACAUGGAUUUCUUAUGGGCUUCACACAGACACCUGCUUGCCCACUAUGGCAAACUGGAUGCUGGACUCAGUUGUCUUCCAACUGUGGGAUCCUCUGAUACCAAGAAAGGUGCUCUCAACGUCUUCCUUGAGCUGCAAUCCCACACAUUUUGCAGAUUUCCAGAUUUCUAAUGAAAUUGCAGUUGUAGGACUAUGUACAAGGACUGGUAUGCACAUGUGCUGGGAUUUUGCAUAGCUGCCUAAUAAGGAAUUCCAUAGACCCAUUGCAUCAGUCUAGCUUCUGCCAACCUUCUGUCUGGCAUGUUUUGUCAUGCCUGCAGAUUGCAAACAGAUCCUUCUACUUAGAUAAUGUUCAUCAGAAGAAAGCCCCUAACUGUUUCUUGAGUUCUUUUUGGAGAAUUCGUACGGCAUCUUUUCCAUUUCUUGGGAAAAUAGAUUCCUAACUAAUGCGCCAGCUAGAGCUAUACACAUAAUUUGACCGAGUCCCUGAUCCUGAGACAGAUCAGGCCUAGGAGGAGGGAUCGGGGCCUUGCUCAAGUUGGGGUGAGAAAACUCUGGAUUGUUCGAAGUUGAGUGGUCCAGACACAUCAAGGCCAUGGGGCAGGGAAGAGAGGCAAGCACAAGUGAGAAAGCUGAGAGACCACAUGAAGGAGAGACCUACCAGGUGGUUGCAACUUAACCUCAGAAGAGCCUGCUGGAUCAGGCCAUUGACCCACCAAGUCCAUCAUCCUGUUCUCAUGGUGGCCAACCAGAUGCCCAUUUUCGGAAAAACAAAAGAAUAUAAGAAGAGCCCAAUGGCUUCUCUCGUUCAGCAUCCUGUUCUCAUGGUGGCCAACAGGCAAGACACAUGGGCACAACUCUCCCACGUAUGAACCUCCCCUGUCUCCAACCAUGGAUGCAGUAUAUCUUUCAUGCCUCAAUCUUUCAGUCCCUACACUUUGGAACUACCUGCCUUAUGUAGGGAUAUCGCGGAGUGGGCAGUGGGGUCCGGAGGGAGCACACUCCCCACCAGCAGGCAGCCACAAUCUGCCUGCACGCGUGACCCUGGGGUGCAGGGCACAUCCCCCCCAGACAGGCCACAGCUGUCUGAACAUCGUUCCCUCUGUCUGACCUUUUGCGGUCUCAGCAGUCUGUGGUGUCCUGUCUGUAAGCUUUGUCCCUGAGACCUUUUGUCUCCUUCGUCAUACACUGUGCAAGGGGAAAAUGACGUGGUGGUAACAGGUGCCAAAAUAACUUUGUACUACCCCUCGACCUCGGGACUGGAAGAUGUGUAAAGGUCACAGCCCAAAAUGUAUUUGCCUGGCUUGCAUAUUUGUCUCAAUAAAAGGAGGCUCCACAGGACUGGUCAGCAGCUCGCAUGCAGCCCACCUGUGCGCAGCUCACAUGAUGAUCAACACCUGUCUUGUGCCUUCACUUCAGCCUUAAAAGCUCUUUUCACACAAGGUCUGCUUCAGUUACCUGGCGCAAGAAGAUCUUUUGAACUCUCUGCCUCUGUGUUUCUAAGGGGAUGAUUUGAAUGGACAUGAUUUUGCAUAUAUGUGGGACCCUUGGAAGCAAACCCCCGCAAGAGAAGCCACCGUUAUUGAGAAGAAGUGUUCUUAUGCUCAGUAAUGAUCACAUGACCUAAGAGAAUGCAUUCGUUGCAGGAAAUAUGGUGAUGAUAAUGAGCCGAAUGGUUGCAAGCAGAAGAAUCUGCCUAUAGCCAUAUAUAGAUAUAUAUUCAGAAUGAUUGGGCAAGACAACACAUGGCUGGAGAAACCUAUUGGCUGUAGGCAGUUCUUUUCUGGAUGUUUCGUAGAGAAGCUGCAUGAAAGCAGUCAUCUUCCAUCCAUCUGCUGCCUCCUGGAAGGCUUCCCUCAGGUUCAUGAACUUCCUGCAUGCCUCCACAGAAUGGGUCACUGUGCACACACAGACAGCUUGCUCACAGAUGAUUCCACGAACUCUGGCUGGAUUCCUGGACUCUUCCACUUUUACAACCUUGUUUAUCAAUGAGCUACACAGAUGAGCGCCAGUCAGCGCCUCCCCUACACACAAUGUUUUCCUUGCACAGAGGCAAUUUCUUGCAAAUCUUCUCUUCUGCCUGGGCAUGCCUGGAGCAUCAGGCCUGCAGUCCUCUCUGCUUGCUUACCUGGGAGUAGGGGAGGGAAGAGAAAUUUGGCAUGGCAUUUAAAGUUGUACCCAUACCUAAUUCGCAUUUCAUGAAAAAUUGCACGAACCGAAACGCAGCCACCCUUUGAAAUUUGCCUUCUCCGAAUUCUGCAACGCAUAUCUCCAGUAAUGUGCACAAAAUUAUGUGCAUAUAGUAUGGUAAGGUGUGUGAAUAAUUGCAGGUAUUAGUAACAUAACAUGCUAAAAUGCAUUAUAUUAGGGCAUAUUGCGUUGUAAAAAUAUGUGCAGAAGUUCACAUUGAGGUGGGUGCCCUCUGUCCUGGAUGCUUCAGCUGAGAUUCCUGCCUUGCAGGAGGUUAGGCUACAUAACCUUUUAGUCCCUUCCAAUUCUACAAUUCUAUGAUUCUGUGACAUGGAGAUGAAUUUUCAUGGAAAUCAUUUUUUGGCCGGAAAACUACAUUGCAAAAUUCAGGUGAAUUUUCAAGGCUGGCCAAGUUUCAGUUCUUGUCUCAUUUCAGGAACUACAAGUUUUGUCAAAUCAACAGAAUUGAACCGAAGGUCUUCUCCAUCUCUAAUCAUGAAUAUCUCACCCCAUUGAGUUCACUGGAAGUGCAGUUCAGUUCACAUGGUCUGGACUCAGGCCAUGACUUUAGGGUUAAAAAGGUAAAAGACCCCUGACAGUUAAGUCCAGUUGCGAACGACUCUGGGGUUGCAGCCCUCAUCUCGCAUUAUUGGCCGAGGGAGCCGAUGUUUGUCCACAGAUGUUUUUUCCAGGUCAUGUGGCCAGCAUGACUAAGCCACGUCUGGCGAACCAGAGCAGCGCACGGAAACGCCGUUUACCUCCCCGCCAGAGCGGUGCCUAUUUAUCUCCUUGCACUUUGAUGUGCUUUCGAACUGCUAGGUUGGCAGGAGCAGGGACCAAACAACGGGAGCUCACCCCGUUGUGGGGAUUUGAACCGCCAACCUUCUGAUCGGCAAGCCCUAGGCUCUGUGGUUUAACCCACAGCGCCACCUGCAUCCCCCUUAUCUUCUUAUAUUAUACUAAAUGGCCAACUGUCAAGGAUUCCUUAGCUGUGAUUCUUGCAUUGUAGGGGCUUGAGCUCGUUGACUCUUGGGAAUUCCUUCCAACUCUAGAAUUCUCGGAUUCUAUGAUACAUGCAGCACCUGCUUGCGCCAUUGGCAAGACCAGAGCAAUGGACACAAACCUUUAACCUUGACGACCUGCGCUAAGAUCGAAGGGGGUUUCUUUUGCUUCCACGCAGCGACUAUUUUCGACUGAAAUUGUUUCUACGCCGUACAGCGAAAACCCCCAUUUCCCAGAAACGCUUCUGGGCGGAAAAGUCUUUUCAGAGCCAGGUUGAUUUUCAACACACACACACACACACACAGAGAGAGAGAGAGAGAGAGAGAGAGAGAGAAUUUAGCCAGGCCAUUGGAACCAGAAGGAUUUGGGGAGGGUUGGUGGAGGGGUUGAAUGUCAAGGGGUGGAAAUGACCUUUGUGCAUGGCAACCCUCCAGAGCCACUCUGACCGGUGGAGACACAGAGAGGCAAUGUCUUGUGAACCGAGGGAGGCGAGCUUCACUGAGCCUGUUUUCAUCCAAACUAUCUUGGUGGCACUGAGUUUUGGCCGUGAUCUGCGCCCGGGAUUUAGUUCAUGAGACACCGAGGCACCAGGAAACAGUUUGGAAAGAACCUUUUUCUUUUCCCCCCUCAAAGGUAUUUUUUUUCUAUUAAGCCAAAGGAUGGAAACAAAUUAUUUUCUGAAACCGGGAACCCUUUCAGUGUUAUUUCUGGCACUCGGCUCCUUUCCAAGUCAAUUCCCUUUCAAGGUGGAAAAAGUCAAUUCUUGGAGGUUUCGUAACAAGCUCUGGGGACUGGAAGGUUUGCGGUCGCAGAGGACAAGGAGGCUGGAUGGGCGCGAUUCACCGAACAAGUUAGAAUGACAAGGGAGAAAGAAGUAAACUCAAACUGGAUCGGUAGUAUUAAGAGCAACAACAAGGGUUGAAAGGGGGUCAUGGGGGGUUACCCCCUCUUUGUCAAUGUCAAGGAGUCUAAAUAAUAAUAAUAAUAAUAAAAUUUUAUUUAUACCCCGCCAUUCCUGGUUUAAAAACUGGGUUCAGGGCGGCUAACAGCAAAUAUAAAACAUUGAUUAAAAUGUGACUUAAAAACAGCAUAAAAUACAACAUAAAAUGCAGCAUCAAUAUCAAUAAAAUUCAAAAAUUCAGGGGUCAUGGGGGGCGGGAAACCCAGUCAGUAGACAUCAAGUGAUCACCAAGGCUAACUGGCCAAGCUGGUCCUACUAGGGCCAGCGAGGAGACCAGGGAAGAAUUUAAAUGUGGGGUCCCAGAAAGGGUUUCUUCCUAGAAGGGGAAAGGGAAAAGGGAAUAGAGGAUCAGGCUAAUUCAAAUUGAAGGCCAGGCGGAAUAGCUCUGUCUUACAGGCCCUGCGGAACGAGAUCAAGUCCUGUAGGGCCCUAGUCUCCCCAUGUCCUAAAUCUGUUGGUUCAGGUUUUAUUCAGGGGGUAGAACCUGAAACAACGGAUUCCAAAGGCAAGAAAGGAGAUUUUGACUAAACAUCAGGAAGAACUUUCUGAGGAUAAGAGCUGUUCAACCGGGGAACAGACUUUCUUGGAGGUUUUUAAGUUGGGUGGCCAUUUGUCAGGAUGCUUGAGCUGAGAUUCCUGCACUGCAGAGGGUCAGACUAGAGAACCCCUGUUGGCCCUUACAACUCUACGAUUUUAUCAUUCUAAAUCUCAGUUAUCCAUCUGUAAACUGGAAAUAAUCAUAACUUGCUUUGAAGGUUUGGUUUUGCUUGCUUUGUUUUUAAAGCAAACACUCCAAAACCCAGAAAGAAAGCCAUUCUUUCUGUGGAAAUGAUUAACUGCUUUUGGAAGAAGCCUUCUCGGUUACCUCCAGACAGGACAAAUGUGAUAAACGCCAUCAGAUGUGUAAAAAGAAAAAAAAGCGCCAUAUAAUUGACUGGUUGGCACCGCACUCGGGCGUAGCACUCUGGGAGGAAGGCGCUUAAGAAUCGCUAAGGUGUGGCCGAAGCGAAACACAAAUUCCCUCCCGCCCCACGGCCUGCUUUCCUGAGAUGAUGGAAAGAUUUGUGUCAGCUCUGGUUUGGAAGCCGCCGUAAGCCAUCCAUGGCUGCGCAAAGUGCUCUUGGCUCCGGCCGUGAUGUGGUGAGCUCUGGUGAGGCCGGAUCAGUGCCGCGGCAGAGUCGGGGGGCUCUUGAGCAAAGGAGAAACGAGGUGAGAGGAGUCAGCAGGAGCCUUCCGAGCGGAGGGGGGACGCUUCGCUGAGCGCAACUCUGAAGGAGUAACUGGAAACAAUUUAGUCUCGUCGAGGGACCUCCAGCCUCCGCCAGAUCGGCAGCUCUGGGCAAAAGUCCAGGAUCCCGCAUAAUGGGAAACAGCAGCAACUGAUAAGCAAAAGUGAUCAUGCUAAUGAUGAUAGGAACAAUAGGGGGAGGCUUGGAGAGCUACUGCUCUGGCAGGCUCCAGCUCCUGGGAGCGACGGCAAAAGCCUCACGCUCUGCAGCUCCUCCACCAAGACGCUGAUGGAUGCUGGCAGGCAGGCCCAAAGUGGACCAUGGGAAUGGCUAACAUGGGAUUCCGAAGGUCCCUGCAUGGAGAGAGGUGAGGACGCCGUCUUGGGGUAUCAGCUGGAGGACACCAGCGGUUCUCAACCUGGCGCUCUCCGGAUAUUGUCCGACCACAACUCCCAUCAGUCCCACCCAGCCAAAAAGGCGAGGAAGAGACGACAUGGUGGAAGCUUCUAAAAUGAUGCCUGGAGAAAGAGGAUAGAGAGAUUUUUUUCUCCCCUCUCUCCUAAUUUUAGAACUCGGGGACAUCCAGGGAAGCUCCGUGUUGGACUGAUAAAAGGAAAUAGCUUCUCCAGGCAGCGCUGAGUUAAUCUAUGGAACUCACUCCCCCUGGAGACAGGGAUGGCUCCCAGCUUAGAUGGCUUUAAAAGUGGAUUAGGCUAAUAAUAAUAAUAAUAACAAUUAUUAUUAUUAUUAUUAUUAUUAUUAUUAUUAUUAUUAAUACCCUGCUGAUCUGGUUGGGUUUCCCCAGCCACUCUGGGCAGCGCCCAACAGAAAAUUAAAAUAAAAUAGUCUAUUAAACAUUAAAUGCUUUCCUAAACAGGGCUGCCUUCAGAUGUCUUCUAAAAGUCUGGUAGUUGUUUUUCUCUUUGACAUCUGCUGGGAGGGCGUUCCAUAGGGUGGGUGCCACUACUAAGAAGGCCCUCUGCCUAGUUCCCUGUAACUUGGCCUCUCACAUUGAGGGAACCAUGAGAAGGCCCUCGGCGCUGGACUUCAGUGUCCGGGCAGAACGAUGGGGGUGGAGAUGCUCCUUCAGGUAUACUCUGGUUUCCAGAGCUUUGAUCAUCUUGGCUGCCCUCUUCUCCACACCUUACAGCUUGUCAACAUCCUUCUUGAAUUGUGGUGUCCAGAACCAGACACAGCACUCCAGGUGUGGUCUGACCAUGGCAGAAUACAGUGGGACUAUGACUUCCCUUGACCUGGACACUAGACUUCCAUAUUCACAUUUGUUGCUCUGGCCCCUGGCAUUUCAUAGAAUCAUAGAAUCAUAGAGUUGGAAGAGACCACAAGGGCCAUCGAGUCCAACCCCCUGCCAAGCAGGAAACACCAUCAGAGCACUCCUGACAUAUGGUUGUCAAGCCUCUGCUUAAAGACCUCCAAAGAAGGAGACUCCACCACACUCCUUGGCAGCAAAUUCCACUGUCAAACAGCUCUCACUGUCAGGAAGUUCUUCCUAAUGUUUAGGUGGAAUCUUCUUUCUUGUAGUUUGGAUCCAUUGCUCUGUGUCCGCUUCUCUGGAGCAGCAGAAAACAACCUUUCCCCCUCCUCUAUAUGACAUCCUUUUAUAUAUUUGAACAUGGCUAUCAUAUCACCCCUUAACCUCCUCUUCUCCAGGCUUAGGAGGACUACCCAGAAGAGAAUGUGGCCCUUGGGUUGAAAAGGUCCCCCACCCCAAAUCAACAGUUGCAGAACCACUAGGAAAGAAUCAUAUCAUGCCUUUCCUGUAUAAGGGCAAUUGACCUCAUUCUUUGAUGAGGAGGAGGCCCCACUCCCAGACAUGGCAGAGAUAAUGCUCUUGGAUCCUGGAGUCUUUCUCGGUCUCUCCUAUCAAUGGGCCUGAUAUGUGGGACUGCUCCCAAGGGGCCGAGUUUGGGGUGACUUCAUCUGUUAUCCUUAGAGCUGCACAGCUUGCUACAACCGGGUUUGGCUCUCAGAUCUCCUUCCCUGUUCGCGAUUAGAACUAUUUUCUUUAGCAAAGACUUUAGUGGUCAAUGUGGGUUCAUUUUUCUUACCCUUUAAUCGAGGUUACUUGAUGAAUGCAUGCAGUAAUCUCUUCCUUGAGUUCCUGGACAUAAAUCACUCGCUAACGAGAAUUUGUGGCACAAGAACAGAGGAGCCCACAAGGCAAUGAUGGAAUCGACCAGUGGGGAUGUGUUGUGUGUGUGUUGUGUGUGUGUGUGUGUGUGUUUCUAAAGGGACUAUGGGGAUCAGGCUGGGCCGGUUCCACACUGAUAACUCACAACAUAACAAAAAAUGUUGGGUUGUGCUUUUCCACUCACACACCCCGCCUUUCUUUCUUUCUUUUUUUGUCUCAGAAAUUGUAGGGUAAUGAUUAGUCCAUAUGCACAAGAUAGAAAACAAACUAUUUCCAUUUUAGAACGUGCCGGUGGCUUAUGCAGGAGGGUCAUUGAUAUAGAACUUGCUCCCCAACACUCUCCUUGUGAGCCACGGGUGGAUGAAAUGGACAUUUUGACAUCUUCCACAGUUUUCGGUUGAGAGAAAAGGCAGAUCAGAGGUGGCGUGAUGGACGUUUGCAAAAUUAUGCCUGGCGUAGAGAAAGCAGAUAGAGACAAGUUCCUCUCCCUCUUCCCUAACAGUAGAACUUGUGGACAUGCAAGGAAGCUGAACGUUAGGAGAUUCAGGACAGAUAAAAUAAAGUCCUUCUUCACACAGCACAAAGCCAAACCAUGGAACUGCCUGUCACAGGAGACAGUGAUGGCCACCGACUGGGAUGGCUUUAAUAUAAUAUAUAAUAAUAAUUUAUUCUGUAUACCCUGCCCAUCUGGCUGGGAUUCCCAAGCCACUCUGGGCGGUUCCCAAUAAAUGCUAAAAACAAUACAGCAUUAAAAACUUCCCCAAACAGGGCUGCCUUCAGAUGUCUUUUAAAGAUAAGAUAGCUGCUUAUUUCCUUGACAUCUGGUGGGAGGGCGUUCCACAGGGUGGGUGCCACUACUGAGAAGGCCCUCUGCCGGACCUCAGUGUCUGGGCUGAACGAUGGGGGUGGAGUCGCUCCUUCAGGUAUACUGGACCGAGACCGUUUAGGGCUUUAAAGGUCAGUACCAACACUCUGAAUUGUGCUCGGAAACAUACUGGGAGCCAAUGUAGAUCUCUCAGGACCGGUGUUAUGUGGUCCUGGUGGCCACUCCCAGUCACCAGUCUAGCUGCCGCAUUCUGGAUUAAUUGCAGUUUCUGGGUCACCUUCAAAGGUAGCCCCACGUAGCGCGCAUUGCAGUAGUCCAAGCGGGAGUUAACCAGAGCAUGCACCACUCUGGCGGGACAGUCCGCGGGCAGGGAGGGUCUCAGCCUGCGUAUCAGAUGGAGCUGGUAGACAGCUGCCCUGGACACAGAAUUGACCUGUACCUCCAUGGACAGCUGUGAGUCCGAAAUGAUUGUGCACCUGGUCCUUCAGGGGCACAGUUACCCCAUUCAGGACCAGGGAGUCCUCCACACCAGCCCAUCCCCCGUCCCCCUAAGACAGUACCUCUGUUUACUUUAAAAGACAAGUAGACAGACUCAUGGAGGAGGAGGAGAGGGUUAUUGAUGGCUACAAGCUAUGAUGGCUCUGCUCUGCCUCCACAACUGGAGUCAGCUAUGCUUCUGAACACCAAUUGCUGGAAACCACAGGAGGCGAGAGGGCUCUUGUGCUCAGCUCCAGCUUGUGGGCUUCCUACUGAGGCAUCUGGAUGAGUCCCCCUUCUCAUGAUUUUAUGAAGCCUCAAAGAUGCUUUCCUCUGACCCACCAAGCUCCAGCCAAAGCAAAGCUCCGGCUUUCACACUUCUUUAGAAGGGAACUUGGAUGGUGUGACUGUAUGCAUGCUUUUCCAAAGGAUAUUUACACCAUGCUCCCUGGGCCUUACUCACUGGUAGCAUGCAGAGGGUUGCAGAAUCGAGGUAUAUAUGUGAGUCUUACGGUGCCUAUAACCCAGUGCAGAACAUGACCACUUAUAUAUUUGGUGUGGAGAACAUGCUCAAGGGCAAGCUUUUCCACCCAAAGAAGCUGAAUUUUGGAAGAUUCAAGAAAGGCAAAAGAAAGCACUUCUUUACACAGCGCAUAGUUAAACUAUGGAGUUCACUCCCUCAAGGGGUUGAGAUACCCACCAGCUUGGAUGUCUUUAAAAGAAGGUUAGACAAACUCAUGGAAGAUGAGGCUAUCACAAUGGCUUUUGCACUACAGGACUGUCCCUUAUUGAGUUUCUAUCAUUUGGGAAACCGAGGGCAAAUGUGUGUGUGUGUGUGUUUGUGUGUGUGUGUGUGAUUUUCAGAACUAGUGUGUGUUUUGGUGUUUCCUUUGGUGUGUGUGUGUCUAAAGGUAAACUUCAUCUCCAGUUGCCCUGCCUGAAUUAAGACUACACAAGGCAAGCUUUCAAAAACUACUGAAUUGGUUUGGCGCACAGCCAGCUCUUGAUUCUUGAAAUAUGGCUGUCCAGGGGAUCAUAUAGUUGGAAGGGCCUCAUUGAUCCCCUCACCCAUCCCCAGCCAAAGGAAGGAUGGGCACUCUAUUCCUCCAACAUUCCCAGGCUGCCAUUCUAAGGAUGGAGGUUCCUCACUUAUCUUAUCCAUUUAGAAGACUUGUAUCUUGCUUUUCUUGUAGGGAGGCAAAGUGGGCUAGAAUAAAUACUGUAAUUAAGGCUGCAGUCCUGCAUAGCAAAUUACCUGGGAGUAAGUAACAUAUGGUGAUGUAUGGAAGUGAGAGCUGGACCAUAAAGAAGGCUGAUCACCAAAGAAUUAAUGCUUUUGAAUUAUGGUGCUGGAGGAGACUCUUGAGAGUCCCAUGGACUGCAAGAGAUCAUACCUCUCCAUUCUGAAGGAAAUCAGCCCUGAGUGCUCACUGGAAGGACAGAUCCUGAAGCUGAGGCUCCAAGACUUUGGCCACCUCAGGAGAAGAGAAGACUCCCUGGAAAAGACCCUGAUGUUGGGAAAGAUGGAGGGCACAAGGAGAAGGGGACGACAGAAGACGAGAUGGCUGGACAGUGUUCUCAAAGCUACCAGCAUGAGUUUGACCAAACUGCGGGAGGCAGUGGAAGACAGGAGUGCCUGGUGUGCUCUGAUACAUGAGGUCAGGAAGAGUCGGACACGACUAAACGACUAAACAACAACAAAGUGACAUUGAACUCAGUGAGAGUGACAUCUGAAGCAGACAAAUUUAGGAUUCUUUUGUAAGGAAUUUGUGGUGUAAAUAGAAACUUUGAAGCUGCUUUUUGUCAGUACCUUUCACAUAUAGAGAAUUAUAUAUAGGGAAUUAGCUACAUCAGUUGCCUCCAACCUGAUGGCCCUCAAGAUGAUUAUCAGUUCCUAAAAUUUUUUGUCUGGCUGGGACUGAUGGGAGUUGUAGACCAGGUUGAGGAGAGCUGGUCAACCUCUGUUGAUUCCUCAAGAUGGAGUCCUUACCUUUCUCCAUAUAGUGACCCACCACUUGGUCCAGCCUCCAGGUGGGGCCCUUCCACCCUGUUCCUCAUUUCCCAUGCUUUUAAUGAAUGACCACAAUGCCCAUUAGGAGCAUCACGAGUGAUAUUAUCUCCACUGCCAUCACGGUCAACACACUAUAUCACAAGAGCCAGUCCGGCAUUGUGGUCAGCGUGCUGACCUAGGACCCAGGAGACUAGGACUUGGCCACAAAGCUCACUGGUGUGACCCACCUCGCAGGGUUACUUUGGGGAUUAAAUGAGUAGGGAGAAACAUGUACGCCACCUCAAGCUCCUUGGGGGAGAAAAAAGUGGGCUAGAAAUGCAGGGAAUAAAUAAAUAACAUUUUAUAGUCUCUGCUGUGUCUGUCAAGGGACUCUCACCCCUGGUUGAAAACAAGUGCAUGACCCUUUCUGAACUUCUGGCAGUUCCAGCUGUUUUUGCUUUUGUGCAGAAUUUAUUUGGUGACGAAGAGGUUCUUUUCUGCAGAGAUGAGGAGCCUGUGGUCCUCCAGAUGUUCUUGGACUCCAGCUCCCAUCAGCGCCAGCCAGAAUGGUUGGUGGUCAGAGAUGAUGGGCGCUGGCGUAUAGAAACAUCUGCUCCCCACCCUUGAUUUCUGGCUUCGCUCGUCUUCUUCCACACAAAACCUGGCUGUUAUCUGCCCCCACCCCACCCCGCCCUCGGGUCCCCUGCUCUCACUUCCCUCUUCCUCCAGUUCCCUUGCAUGCUUGUAUUUCGAAAUUUACAAAUGGAGUGCGAGCCUGAAUUCCCCCCCCCCCCAGAUUUAUAGACUUUUGAAGAGAACAUUUGUUCCAUUCCUACCCAUGUGUGUUUCAUUAUAAAACAAGUUCAAGCAACCAAAUCAUGAAAAGGAGAGGCAAGAAAAAAUAUAUCCAUUCAAUGAAAACUUGGGCCUAAGAUCCUGAAGAUUUACUUGCAAGUAAAUCUGUUUGCACUUCAGACCUAGAUUCGCAUGGGACUGGGGCCUUGAUCCUUCUGCUCUUGGCGCUUGGUGGAGCUCUCCCACCACCAACCCCUGGAGUGCUCUUUCCAUUUCCUGUUCCUCUCCUUCUACAUCCUGAAUCAUUCUCCUGGAAGGGCUGUCCCUCUCUCUCGGUGGUUUGGUGCCAAGGAGAGCAACAGUGCAGGGCAGCAAGUAAAUAGUUUGGAAGUUUGCGGUGAAAGAGAAGGCCAUAUUUAUUGUGGAGGGCUCAAAGAAAAAAUGUGUCAAAAGGCAGACCGGGUUCCCACACAAGCGUUCCUUGUUUGUCCACAGAGGACCAUGAUUAGAAACAUACAAGUUGGACGCAGCAGCUCAGAAUCUUGGAGAAGUUCCUUCGACGGAUGUUCUGGCAAGCGAGAAUUGCUUGGCAUGGUCCUGGCAGAGCUUCCAAGGUUCAGGAAAUGAUGUUGAGCAGAAAAACGCCAUGGAGGAUAAUCAUCCGCCGAGGGGAGGGGCGGGGGCGCCAAGGACGGCUGGAAAGGACUUCCGCCCCCAGACAAAAGCUUGGAAAGGAAUGGGAAAUUGCUGCAGCUCUGAAAAAUAUUGGUGGGGGAAGUAUGCAUUGACCCCAGGAUGCAUUUAGGACCCCAGUUUGGUGUUUUGGAAAGAAAGAAAGAAAGAAAGAAAGAAAGAAAGAAAGAAAGAAAGAAAGAAAGAAAGAUGAAUUGGCUCAGAGGGUUCACGUCCACUUCAUUCCCCACUCCCAUUCAUGAUUGGGACAUCAAAAAAAGUGCUAUAACUCCCCCCCCUCUUUUUAACAGAAAUGGAUAAAAUUUGCAGGCAGUGUAGCAUCUCCAGAGUGCAUAGAGCCUGCCAAAUUGUAAAUAUGCUUCCUUGCUUGCUUGCUGGUUGGUUGGUUUAAUUUAAUCCCAAUUUUUUCCCUCCGGGCUGCUUACAUGGUUCUUUCUCUCCUCAUUUAAUCUGCACAGUGACCCUGUGAAGUAGGCUAGGCUCAGAGGCAGUGGCUGCCCCCCCCCCCCGAGGUCACACCCUGGGAACUUCAUGUCUGAAGUGAAGAAUAUCUCUUUAAAAGCCGGUUUUAAAUCUGCUAAAUAAAGAAGCGUGUUCCGCAAAUACAGUCCUAAACCUGUUUGCUCAGAAGCAAAUCCCUUUCAGUAGGGAUUGCACCCAAGUAACUAUGCAAAACAAAACAAAACAAAACUUGAAAAAUAUUAUUAUUAUUAUCAUCAUUAUUAUUAUUUCUUAUACCCCACCUAUUUGACUAGUUUACCCUAGCCACUUUGGGCGGCUUCCAAUGAAAAUGAAGGAACAAGAACAAGAAGCAGAACAGCACAACAGCAACAGUGGUGACAGCAGUAGCAGCAGCAGCAACAACAACAUCUAACAUUAAAAGCUUCCCGAAAUAGGGCUGCUUUCAGAAGUCUACCAAAGAAUUAUAUAGUUGUUUAAUUCUUUGACAUCUGCCAGGAGGUCAAUCCACAGGGCGGGUGCAAGUAACUGAGUUGUGUGGUUUCUGACAGUUUGUACAGUUGCCUUUGUAUAGUUCCUUCCAUUGCCUUUCCUAUUGCUUUUAAAUAAUAAUAAUAAUAAUAAUAAUAAUAAUAAUAAUAAUAAUAAUUUAUUACUUACACCCCACCCACCUGGCUGGGUUUCCCCAGCCACUCUGGGAGGCUUCCAACUGAAUAUUGAAAACAAUACAGCAAUACCUUCUGUUCUGAGCCACAAUACUCCCCGAUGAAGAAUGGUCGCAGCAUUUGGGAUUUUUCGAUUUAGAGAAAAGCUGAGUAAGUGGGGGGGGGGGACGCGGCAGAAGUUUAUAGAAAUUAUGCACAGUGUAGAGAAAGUGGAUAGCAAAAAAGUUUUCCUUCCUCUCUCGUAACACUGGAACUCGUGGCCAUCCCACGAAGGGAAGAUUCAGGACAGAAACACUUCACGCAGUGCAGAGAGUUAAUCUGUGGAACUCCCUGCCACAGGCGGUUCUCGAUGGCUCCAAGUCAGGAUACCUCUGCUCUGCUGCUAUGGUCAGAGGCAGAAAUACUUCUGAAUGCCAGACGCUGAAAACCAGGGAAGGGGAGAAGACUCUGGUGUUCAAAUUUUCCUUGUGGCUUUCCUACAGGGCAGGCAUCUGAUGAGCUGCUAGGAGAACAGGAUGUUGGACUAGUCGGGCCAUUGGCCCAAUCCAACAGGCUCUUUUUAUGUUCUUAUGAGAUUGGAGCAGGGAACAAGAACAACAACAUUUAUUAAAAAGGUAAAGGGACCCCUGACCAUUAGGUCCAGCCGUGACCGACUCUGGGGUUGCGGCACUCAUCUCGCUUUAUUGGCCGUACAGCUUCCGGGUCAUGUGGCCAGCAUGACUAAGCCGCUUCUGGCGAACCAGAGCAGUGCACGGAAACGCUGUUUACCUUCCUGCCAGAGCGGUACCUAUUUAUCUACUUGCACUUUGACGUGCUUUUGAACUGCUAGGUUGGCAGGAGCAUGGACCGAGCAACGGGAGCUCAACCCUUCAUGGGGAUUUGAACCGCCGACCUUCUGAUCAGCAAGUCCUAGGCUCUGUGGUUUAGACCACAGCGCCACCCGCGUCCCUAUAAUAUUUAUUAUUUAAUAUCAAAAUGAAUUAAAAAUGUAUAUUAUGACCAUUGUUGAACAGUAUUUUUAAAGGAAUAUAGACAGACAACAAGAUUUGUAUAUAUAGAAAGAUUUAUUUGUUUACAGACAUUUCAUGGACAAAGUGGAAGAAGAACAAUUAUAUAUAAAAUGGACAAAGACAAUGCGAAAAGUUAAAGAUGACAUAAAAAAGCCGGAAGAAGGAAGGAGGGAAGUCAGCUUGGGAAAGCAAGAACAAAUGUAAUAUAUAAUGUAAUAUGUGUAUGUAUAGUAUGUAAUUAAAAAAAUCAAUAAAGAUCAUCUUUAAUAAUAAUAUAAUUUAUUUACACCCCACCCAUCUGGCUGGGUUUCCUCAGCUACUCUGGGCGGCUCCCAACAGAAUAUUAAAAACACAAUAACGCAUCAACCAUUAAAAAUUUCCCUGUACAGGGCUGCCUUCAGAUGUCUUCUAAAAGUCAUAUACAGUGGACCCUCUGGAUAUGAACUUAAAUCAUUCCGGGGGUCCGUUCACACCCCAAAAAUUACAUAAAUAGACCUGCGCUUUUGGGCAUGCACACGCCAUGAUCGAGCGCUUCUGCGCAUGCACGCGAGGUGAAACCCGGAAGUAUACACUUCCGGCGUUGCCGUGGCCGUAACCCAAAGAUUCCAUAUCCAGAGGGAUAUGUAAGUAGAGGUACGACUGUUUAUUGCCUUGAGAUCUGAUGGGAGGGUGUUCCACAGGGCGGGUGCCACCACUGAGAAGGCCCUCUGCCUGGUUCCCUGUAACCUCACUUCUCGCAGGGAGGGAACCGCCAGAAGGCCCUCAGAGCUGGACCUCAGUCACUGGCCUAAACGAUGUGGGUGGAGACACUCCUUCAGGGUUUACAAAGGGUUAAAGCCCCUCAUGCCCCCCUAUGUGGAUCAGGGACCCAUCCUGUUAAUUUGUGUGGAAUCUCUGAUUCAUGGGCUAAACAUGAACCAUGCAGAUAACAGUCUGGUCCUGUGCCCCUAUUCAUCUUUUCCAAGAAUUGCAGUGCUACAAAGGGGCUGAAGGGGUCAUCCAGCCCAACCCCUGCCAUCCUUCCACCGCUUCUCAGAUUCAGUCUUUCUUUCCAUCUUCACACACAUCCUUUCCUAGUUUGCUCUCUCUUCUCAUUGCACAGCCGACAUUUUUAUUCCAGAAGCGACCCAUCUUCUGCCACCGACUCACUUUAUUCGUUUAUUUUAUUCAUAACCAUGUUUUAUAUAGCACUGUGUCAUAAAAAUAAUAAUAUCACAGCGGUUUGCAAGAAUAUAGAAAUGUAAAACCAGACAAUAAAACCAUAAAACUUAUAAAGUAAGUUGAAAGCUAGAAUAAAUAAAUAAAUACAUUGUGGAAGGAUGUCUUCUGCCUUGCCUGCAAAGUCCUGGAAGAAUUGAAACAUUUCCAGCAGGGAUUUGAAAGCUGGCGGAGAAGGCACCUCCUGCUGAAUCCCCAGUGGCAAAGAGUUCCACAGGACUGGCCCAUUGACACUAAAGACUUGGUUUCUCAUUGUCAUCAAAUGAAUUCCACCAACUCCAGGAAUGACCAGCAAUGCUCCUGCAGAUAAACUCAGUUCGGGGAAUCCCUGAGCUAUCCUGAACCUACGAUUACAUUGUUCAGGGCUUUGCUUUUUUUAUAUAAAAAAAUUAUUGGGUUUUUGAUAUUUUUAUGCAUAUAAAACAAAACAAUUUCAAACAUUAAAAUACAAGGUUCUUUUGAACCUUCAGGCCUCCUUCCCUCCCUCCGUGAGUUCCAUAUUUAGAUUUAAGUUUACUGCAUCUUUUAUCCAUCUAUUAAAUAACCAUCAUUAUCAUAAAUAAUUCCAUGUUACACGUGUCAUUACAUCCCUGCCAAAGGUUCUAACUGUUUACAGUGGUCUUUUAAAUAAAUUGCAGAUUUGCUCCAGUCUUUAGAAAACACAGUACAUGAUCUUCCUGGUUUCGAAUCUUCCCCGUCAGUCUUGCCAUCUCCUCAUACUUCUUCAGUUUUGUCGGCCAUUCUUCUUCUGUUGGUUCUUCUCCUUCCUUCCAUCUCUGGGCUAAAACUCUUUAAUCUUCUCUUGGUAGCUCUUCACCUAUUAUACCUAGUAAGAAGGCUUCUGGUUUUUUUAAGAAAGGUAUUUUUAAACAUUUUCUUUAGUUCCUUAUAUAUAAUUUCCCAGAAAGCCUUUACCAGUGUACAUAUCCACCACAUAUGGUAAAAAUUCCUCCUUCUCUUUACAUUUCCAACGCAAUUUUGAACUUGUCUUGUACAUUUUAGCAAUUUUACUCAGUACUGUCGUACCUCAUGUUACGUUUGCUUCAUGUUACGUUUUUUCAGGUUGCAUCCUGCGCCGACCCGGAAGUACCGGAAAGGGUUACUUCCAGGUUUCGCCACUCGCACAUGCGCAGAAGCGCCAAAUCGCACCAUGCACCUGCGCAGACACGACGCUUCAGGUUGCGGGCUUUUCAUGUUGCGAACGGGCCUCCGGAACGGAUCCUGUUUGCAACCGGAGGUACCACUGUAUUAGAUACCAACGAUACAUCCUUUUCAUAUAGUUUUCUUUCAACGAACAGCAUGUGGAAAACUUUAUUCCUUCUUUCCAUAACUCUUCCCAAGAUAAAAGUUGGCUAUUACACCCUGUUAUGUACUGAGUUGAAUAGGAUCCAAAAUGCAGCAGUCUGAUUGGUCCUAGAACAAUGCAGCAGUAUGAUUGGUCAGCAGGAGCCACCCAAUCUAGCUCCAGGUGGAGGUGAAUCCACAACCUGAUUGGCCUACAGGAGAAUCCCGGAAUUAGCCAAUCAUGUGCAGCCCAUUGUGUAAAUAAUGUAUAUAAAGCAGAUAUUUUGGGGAAACUUUCAUUUCCUCCUCACCACUAUGAGCUGAAUAAAGAGAAUGAAAUCCACUCACGACUCCAAGCACCGUAUUUUUCACUCUAUAAGACGCACCAGACCACAAGACGCACCUAGUUUUUGGAGGAGGAAAACAAGAAAAAAAUAUAUUCUGAAUCUCAGAAGCCAGAACAGCAAGAGGGAUGGCUGCGCAGUGAAAGCAGCCAUCCCUCUUGCUGUUCAGGCUUCUGUGAUAGCUGCGCAGCCUGCAUUCGCCCCAUAAGAUGCACACAUAUUUCCCCUUACUUUUUAGGAGGGAAAAAGUGAGUCUUAUAGAGCAAAAAAUACAGUAUAUUUCACACCCAAAAUCUCUAGCCCAAUGUAUCAUCACUGCCUUGACUGCUUCGUCUAUUGUAUGCCAUUCUAAAAGUAACUUGUAGAUUUUUUAUGACACUUUGCAGAUUAAUUCCAGGUAUCUGAGCCUGCCUCGGUAGCAGCUGGGCAGUCCACGUCUCUCUUUAAUCCUGAGCUCAGACUUUUGCUCCCGAGUAGCCUGACUAUAACCUCUUCUCCUUUGACAUCCCUGAGCCUGGUUUUUCUCCAAACAGAAGGGGAUAUUUUUUGGCCCCAAAGAGACCCGAGCUCUGAGCGGGCCAAAGUGUAGCCAGAGGUUUGUUUAGAAGACAAGCGGGUGAGUCACUUUGCAGUUAUUUUGCUGGUUUACAGUACGCUAUGAAAAAUAGGCCUUGUGUUUAAAUUAGGCAAGCCCAUUGUGUAUUUUUUUUUAAGAAAUGGCUUGCGUGCGCGAGGCUGCAAUUAAGGUCCCAGAGAGAGCAGCAAACUGACGGGAGCGGAUGUGCGGACCUGGGGCAGGGAGGGUCAGCGGGAUGUCAGCGCAUGGAGGGUGCUGGUGUGGCGAUCACACAGGGUCCCCGGACGUUUGUCUAUUGAUCUCUAUGCCACCACUGUGCCCGCUUCCCCGUUGCCACCAACCCGUUACUCUCGGGUACACACUGAGUCCAGACAGUUGUUAAAACUGAACCAAAUAAACAAGUUUAUUUUAUAAGAGUUAACAAUUUUAUGGUUUCUCAGAUAAUAUUAUUGUCAGUUUCUUAACUUUAGUUUCUUUACCGGCCUAUACCUUCCUAGUGCCUGGAGUGCCUGGAGGCGGUUGGAGGAUGGAGGAUGGAUGGCGGCUAACAGAUUGAGGUUGAAUCCUGACAAGAGGCUGGAAGGAAGGAGAGAAGGUCCCUCAACUCAGGACCCAAACCCUGUAUUCCCCCGAAAAGGCUCAACCACUUUGGCCAACCAAUAGCUCAACAACAUGGGUCAAUCGCUCCCUUAAAAAAGGUCAACAACUCCUGGCAAUGACAAUGGGUAGACAACAGCCAGUCUUUUUAUACAGUGGUACCUCUGGAUACGAACAGGAUCCAUUCCGGAGCCCCGUUCGCAUCCAGAAGCAAACACAACCCGCGUCUGAGCGUGCGCGGGUCGUGAUUUGCCGCUUCCGCGCAUGUGCAUGACAUCAUUUUGAGCGUCUGCGCAUGUGUGAGCGGCGAAACCCGGAUGUAACGUGUUCCGUUAUUUCCGGGUCGCCAUGGAGCACAACCCAAAAGUGCUCAACCUGAAGCAACUUCAAUUCGAGGUAUGACUGUACUGUGAGUAGAUCGCAGUCUCUCUCUUGGGAGUCGAACUAGAUUUCAAUGUGUGUGUAUGUGGGAUGUGUGACAAGAAAUUUUCCAGCCGGGGUACCACUUGACCUUGCUACACAACUCACUGGCAGCAGGACUGAUGUCUGCACCGCAAGGAAGGCUUUUUCCUCCUUCUCCUCGCCUCCUCUCUCCAGGGUCAGCAAGGCCAAGGAACCUCCCUCGCUGCCUUCAGAUCCUGCCCUCACUUUGCAAACGCAGCUCAGAGUUCGGGAUGAGAAGAAUUGCUCCGCCUAUGUCCUUCCCCCCACCCACCCUUCAAAACCCACAAAUAUGACAUUGAUUUUUUUUCAAUGGACGUUUUUUCUUCCUUUCUGCUGGAAGAUUCAAUAAUUUCAUUGGGCUCCUUGCUGCAAUGCUGUACUUAUUUCAGAUUUGGACAUUUUCCCCCUCUUGUGCCUGAGUCCGCAGCAAUUUGAAAUUUGCAUGUUAAUUAUUGCUUUUUCAGGCCCCUGGCUGCCCCCUUAAUUCCAUAAACCUAUCCCCAGUGUUCACUAACCUUCCGUACAGGAAGCAUUACUCAAAAUAGUGCUUUGCGUGACCCACCUAGGAGGGUAAUAACACCAUAAAAUCCAAUGUAUAUUCUCUGUGUCUCUCUCUCUCUGUGUGAAUGUUUGUUUGUUUUAAAUCUGCGUAUUUCAUUUCAUUUUCAUCUAACGUUUAAUUUGUAUACUGCCUUUCUAUAUUACUAUACAUGAGGCAUCUGAAGAUCUCAGGGUGGUUCGCAACAUAAAAAUACAAAAUGAAAACACAAAAUUAACAACAACAACAACAAUAACUACAUUAAUAUUAGCAAUGCCCAAUUUACAUUUACGUAAAAGGACGUAGAUUGUUAAUUAGCCAAAAGCCUGGCUGAAGACAAAUGCUUUUGAGUUGAAGAUAUGCAGUGAAGGUGUCAGUGGCAAUUAAUUGCAUAUUCGUACAAAAUCCAAUUAAAAGUCUUUGGUUUAAUUAAUUCAACAAAAUGGAUGAACUUGAACCAAUGUUAGCAGCUUUUCAAAUUCUGGUAGCCAUUUAAACCUCCAGCAGCCCCCGGCCCCUUGCCUCUCAGCGCCCCCCAGGGAACCCCACCUCCCUGCAGGGGGCACUGCUACCCACUUGGGGAACCCCUCAGGUCGAUGCCCCUUUGAGUCCCUUCCAGAAUUCUCUAGCUGUGAUUCCUAGAAGUCAGUUAUUCCCUGUGUUUGGAUCUGAGCGUCGCCUUUCCUUGCUAAGCUCUGCAUGCAAUAUUUCUAUUUUAGUGGGUUCAGACUCCCUUUCCGGCACGGUGUUCCGAACCCUCCUCCCUCCCAGCCGUUAACUCAGGUCCAACUUUUCCAGCUCCCACACUUCCUUCCAGAAUCCAAUCAGCUCCGUCGUUUCUAGUCACGCUGCAGGUCCUUCAGAGUUGCUGGCUGCUCUCUCUCGGCCAGGAAGCAGCAAAAAUUGUAUCUGUGUUGUUAAAACUUGGGCCAAAUCUCUCUUUUCCCUUCCCCUCAUUCGCUCGCACCAGCCAGCAAAACAGAACCCUGCAAUUAAGCCUUGUCUCUGUUCCAGAGCUGAUGCUGGGUGGGGUUUAAUGGGAGAAGCCAUGUGGGCUGCUGCUGAGCAUUAUGUGUCAAGGUGUCUUCCAGAUUUGUAAGGUACAGCGAGUGUUACCACUAAAAUUGCAAGGGAAUUAUAUUCUUCUGGUUUUGCAUCUGGCCAAGGAGCACAGCAAGCCCAUUUUGUGCCCUUUGAGGCUUCCUCCAAGACCCAUCAUUUAUCCUCCUGCAAGAGGGAACGAGACGUGCAAGGAGGAGGCUCACCUGGCCCGAUCCAAAACAGCCGUUUCCCCCUCGAGUUUCGCAAAACUUUGACGGGGGCAGGGAAAGCGAAGACAAGCCAUGGACAACCUUGGCCAGCCAACGCAAACCCGAGACCAGAGUCUAAUUAGUACAUUUCUGGGUGUUCCAAAAAGUUCCUUUUAGUGCUUUUGGCAGGAGGUUUUCAAACACUGAAUUUCCCCUUUGGCUCCCCUACUCAAAACGGGGGGGGGGGGAGAGUCACUUGCCACAGCAGUAGGUUGCAGAUGGAGAGAACUCUCUCCUUUCUCCAGCUCAGUCAGUUCAGAAAGACUCAGGUGGGGAGAGGUGGCGGUGGAAUUGAAGGACAUUACAUGCAAUCAUAGAAAUGUAGUGUUGGAAGGGAUCCUCAGGGGUCAUCUAGCCAAACCAACCCCCUGCAAUGCAGAAAUCACAGCUAAAGAAUUAUCUUCUUCUUUGGCAAUCUCUCGUAGCCGAGUAAGAUUGUCUUCCAUAAACACAGUUUUAACAAUGAGUCCGUACGUGACUGUGGAGGCCAAUUCUGGACCCACACGUCCUUCCACAGUGGGGACAUGGGUUUCUGGGUAGUUGUCUUUUAUGACCGCCAGGUGGUGACCCCUAUGAUUCGCAGAAUUCAUCAUGCGAAAGGAUGGACUGGAUGAAUCCCAAGCCGGAAUUAAGUUUGCCGGAAGAAAUAUCAACAACCUCAGAUAUGCAGAUGACACAACCUUGAUGGCAGAAAGUGAGGAGGAAUUAAAGAACCUUUUAAUGAAGGUGAAAGAGGAGAGCGCAAAAUAUGGUCUGAAGCUCAACAUCAAAAAAACUGAGAUCAUGGCCACUGGGCCCAUCACCUCCUGGCAAAUAGAAGGGGAAGCAAUGGAUGCACUGAGAGAUUUGAAUUUCUUGGGCUCCAUGAUCACUGCAGAUGGUGACAGCAGUCACAAAAUUUUGUUGUUGUUUAGCCAUUUAGUCGUGUCUGACUCUUCAUGACCCCCUGGACCAGAGCACGCCAGGCACUCCUGUCUUCCACUGCCUCCCGCAGUUUGGUCAAACUCAUGCUGGUAGCUUUGAGAACACUGUCCCACCAUCUCAUCCUCUGUCGUCCCCUUCUCCUUGUGCCCUCCAUCUUUCCCAACAUCAGGGUCUUUUCCAGGGAGUCUUCUCUUCUC
Non-coding RNA from Podarcis lilfordi (Lilford's wall lizard), 42439 nucleotides. The record is from the annotation of a GenBank genome assembly. Lineage: Eukaryota; Metazoa; Chordata; Lepidosauria; Squamata; Lacertidae.